GACGAACGCUGGCGGCGUGCUUAACACAUGCAAGUCGAACGGGGUCCAUGAGAGCUUGCUCUCGGAAGACCUAGUGGCGAACGGGUGAGUAACACGUGAGAAACCUGCCUCGGAGUGGGGAAUAACUCGAGGAAACUCGAGCUAAUACCGCAUACCUUCAUUUGACCGCAUGGUCAGUUGAAGAAAGAUUUAUCGCUCUGAGAGGGGUCUCGCGGCCUAUCAGCUUGUUGGUGGGGUAACGGCCUACCAAGGCAACGACGGGUAGCUGGAUUGAGAGAUCGACCAGCCACACUGGAACUGAGACACGGUCCAGACUCCUACGGGAGGCAGCAGUGGGGAAUCUUGCGCAAUGGGCGAAAGCCUGACGCAGCAACGCCGCGUGCGGGAUGAAGGCCUUCGUCGGUUGGUAAACCGCUUUCAGUAGGGACGAAAAUGACGGUACCUGCAGAAGAAGCUCCGGCUAACUAACGUCGCACGCACGCCGCCGGGUAAAGUAGGUGUGUACG
This 506-nucleotide ribosomal RNA is filed under the name uncultured bacterium. Its description in RNAcentral is "bacterial SSU rRNA". It matches the Rfam family "Bacterial small subunit ribosomal RNA", at positions 28 to 538 of the family's 1533-position model. The record is from RNAcentral.